GCCUGGGUGGCUCAGUCGGUUGGGCGUCUGACUUCGGCUCAGGUCAUGAUCUCACCGUCCGUGGGUUCGAGCCCCGCAUAGGGCU
Molecule: transfer RNA, 85 nt
Organism: Felis catus (domestic cat)
Lineage: Eukaryota; Metazoa; Chordata; Mammalia; Carnivora; Felidae
Rfam family: tRNA
About the family: Transfer RNA (tRNA) molecules are approximately 80 nucleotides in length. Their secondary structure includes four short double-helical elements and three loops (D, anti-codon, and T loops).
Source: Rfam